Molecule: ribosomal RNA, 481 nt
Filed under: uncultured bacterium
Lineage: Bacteria
Description: partial 16S ribosomal RNA
Rfam family: Bacterial small subunit ribosomal RNA
Source: RNAcentral
GAUGAACGCUGGCGGCGUGCUUAACACAUGCAAGUCGAACGAAGCACUUUAUUUGAUUUCCUUCGGGACUGAUUAUUUUGUGACUGAGUGGCGGACGGGUGAGUAACGCGUGGGUAACCUGCCUUGUACAGGGGGAUAACAGUUGGAAACGGCUGCUAAUACCGCAUAAGCGCACAGCAUCGCAUGAUGCAGUGUGAAAAACUCCGGUGGUAUAAGAUGGACCCGCGUUGGAUUAGCUAGUUGGUGAGGUAACGGCCCACCAAGGCGACGAUCCAUAGCCGACCUGAGAGGGUGACCGGCCACAUUGGGACUGAGACACGGCCCAAACUCCUACGGGAGGCAGCAGUGGGGAAUAUUGCACAAUGGGCGAAAGCCUGAUGCAGCGACGCCGCGUGAGCGAAGAAGUAUUUCGGUAUGUAAAGCUCUAUCAGCAGGGAAGAUAAUGACGGUACCUGACGAAGAAGCACCGGCUAAAUACGUG